RNAcentral lists this ribosomal RNA (832 nucleotides) under uncultured organism. Its description in RNAcentral is "bacterial SSU rRNA". It matches the Rfam family "Bacterial small subunit ribosomal RNA", at positions 609 to 1430 of the family's 1533-position model. The record is from RNAcentral.
UUAACCGAGGAAUUGCUGGGCGAACUGACAGUCUUGAGGCAAGUAGGGGCGCACGGAACUCUUGGUUGACCGCUGGAAUGCGUAGAUAUCAAGAGGAACGCCAGAGGCGAAGGCGGUGCCCUGGGCUUGACCUGACGCUGAGGUGCGAAAGCCAGGGGAGCGAACGGGAUUAGAUACCCCGGUAGUCCUGGCCAUAAACGAUGUCUACUAGAUCUGAGGUGUUCUGACACACUUCUGGUCGAAACACAAGCGUUAAGUAGACCGCCUGGGGAGUACGGUCGCAAGGCUAAAACUCAAAGGAAUUGACGGGGGCUCACACAAGCGGUGGAGCAUGUUGCUUAAUUCGAUGCAACGCGAAGAACCUUAUCCUGGGCUUGACAUGCUUGGAUGCCCAUCUAGAAAUAGAGUAGGCUGCCCUUCGGGGUGAAACUUGCACAGGUGCUGCAUGGCUGUCGUCAGCUCGUGUCGUGAGAUGUUGGGUUAAGUCCCGCAACGAGCGAAACCCUUGUCGUUAGUUGCCAGCGAGUAAAGUCGGGGACUCUAACGAGACUGCCGGUGUUAAACCGGAGGAAGGUGGGGAUGACGUCAAGUCCUCAUGGCCUUUAUGCCCAGGGCUGCAAACGUGCUACAAUGGCGUGUACAAGCCGGUGCAAGACCGCGAGGUGGAGCAAAUCGGAAAAAGCACGCCCCAGUUCGGAUUGGAGUCUGCAACUCGACUCCAUGAAGUUGGAAUCGCUAGUAAUCGCAGAUCAGCAAUGCUGCGGUGAAUGUGUUCCUGAGCCUUGUACACACCGCCCGUCAAGUCAUGGAAGCCGGGAGCACCCGAAGUCGG